Molecule: ribosomal RNA, 467 nt
Filed under: uncultured bacterium
Lineage: Bacteria
Description: partial 16S ribosomal RNA
Rfam family: Bacterial small subunit ribosomal RNA
Source: RNAcentral
GACGAACGCUGGCGGCGUGCUUAACACAUGCAAGUCGAACGGAAAGGCCCUGCUUUUGUGGGGUGCUCGAGUGGCGAACGGGUGAGUAACACGUGAGUAACCUGCCCUUGACUUUGGGAUAACUUCAGGAAACUGGGGCUAAUACCGGAUAGGAGCUCCUGCCGCAUGGUGGGGGUUGGAAAGUUUCGGCGGUUGGGGAUGGACUCGCGGCUUAUCAGCUUGUUGGUGGGGUAGUGGCUUACCAAGGCUUUGACGGGUAGCCGGCCUGAGAGGGUGACCGGCCACAUUGGGACUGAGAUACGGCCCAGACUCCUACGGGAGGCAGCAGUGGGGAAUAUUGCACAAUGGGCGGAAGCCUGAUGCAGCAACGCCGCGUGCGGGAUGACGGCCUUCGGGUUGUAAACCGCCUUCGCCUGUGACGAAGCGUGAGUGACGGUAAUGGGUAAAGAAGCACCGGCUAACUACGU